This 899-nucleotide ribosomal RNA is filed under the name Corynascus sepedonium. Its description in RNAcentral is "LSU rRNA". It matches the Rfam family "Eukaryotic large subunit ribosomal RNA", at positions 38 to 965 of the family's 3401-position model. Lineage: Eukaryota; Fungi; Ascomycota; Sordariomycetes; Sordariales; Chaetomiaceae. The record is from RNAcentral.
GCAUAUCAAUAAGCGGAGGAAAAGAAACCAACAGGGAUUGCCCUUAGUAACGGCGAAGUGAAGCGGCAACAGCUCAAAUUUGAAAUCUGGCUUCGGCCCGAGUUGUAAUUUGCAGAGGUAAGCUUUAGGCGCGGCACCUUCUGAGUCCCCUGGAACGGGGCGCCAUAGAGGGUGAGAGCCCCGUAUAGUUGGAUGCCUAGCCUGUGUAAAGCUCCUUCGACGAGUCGAGUAGUUUGGGAAUGCUGCUCAAAAUGGGAGGUAAAUUUCUUCUAAAGCUAAAUACCGGCCAGAGACCGAUAGCGCACAAGUAGAGUGAUCGAAAGAUGAAAAGCACUUUGAAAAGAGGGUUAAAUAGCACGUGAAAUUGUUGAAAGGGAAGCGCUUGUGACCAGACUUGCGCCGGGCUGAUCAUCCGGUGUUCUCACCGGUGCACUCUGCCCGGCUCAGGCCAGCAUCGGUUCUCGCGGGGGGAUAAAGGCCCUGGGAAUGUAGCUCCUCCGGGAGUGUUAUAGCCCGGGGUGUAAUGCCCUCGCGGGGACCGAGGUUCGCGCAUCUGCAAGGAUGCUGGCGUAAUGGUCAUCAGCGACCCGUCUUGAAACACGGACCAAGGAGUCAAGGUUUUGCGCGAGUGUUUGGGUGUAAAACCCGCACGCGUAAUGAAAGUGAACGUAGGUGAGAGCUUCGGCGCAUCAUCGACCGAUCCUGAUGUAUUCGGAUGGAUUUGAGUAGGAGCGUUAAGCCUUGGACCCGAAAGAUGGUGAACUAUGCUUGGAUAGGGUGAAGCCAGAGGAAACUCUGGUGGAGGCUCGCAGCGGUUUCUGACGUGCAAAUCGAUCGUCAAAUCUGAGCAUGGGGGGCGAAAGACUAAUCGAACCAUCUAGUAGCUGGUUACCGCCGAG